Molecule: ribosomal RNA, 139 nt
Filed under: uncultured eukaryote
Lineage: Eukaryota
Description: partial 18S ribosomal RNA
Rfam family: Eukaryotic small subunit ribosomal RNA
Source: RNAcentral
UGGUGGGUUGCCUUGUCAGGUUGAUUCCGGUAACGAACGAGACCUCAGCCUGCUAAAUAGUCACGGUUGGUUCUUCCAGCCGGCCGACUUCUUAGAGGGACUAUUGGCGACUAGCCAAUGGAAGUGUGAGGCAAUAACA